GGGGCUGUGUUGGUUUUGACAGCAGUUGUGGGGGUAAAGUAAGCAUGCCGGAGGACGUCCGUAUUCUCCGUAAAAACCGCGGGCAACACUAUAAUAACAGGCAACGAUAACUCGUUCGCAUUGGCUGCUUAAGCGGAAUGUUUAAGCCCCGAUUGUCUCCCCGGAAGCGCUGACCGACCGCGUCUGGACCGAGGCACCGCAAAUGCCGGAAUCGCAGAUUGAUAUACCUUUGGUCGUCUGCUAAAAAAUAAAAGGAUAAGGUGCAGAUAGGGCUCGUUUCUCCCCGGUUUGCAUACGAAAAUUAAUCAGAAGCUAAGCAUGUAGAAAGCUUUUCUGUCCGCUGUUUGGACGAGGGUUCGAACCCCUCCAGCUCCACAA
Bacteroidetes bacterium GWE2_42_42 is the source of this 378-nucleotide non-coding RNA. The record is from Rfam. NCBI's taxonomy places the organism in Bacteria, Pseudomonadati, Bacteroidota.